GAGAGGUGUCCGAGUGGUCGAAGGUGCUUGACUCGAAAUCAAGUGUGGUGUUGAGCCACCGUGGGUUCGAAUCCCACCCUCUC
This 83-nucleotide transfer RNA is filed under the name bovine gut metagenome. It matches the Rfam family "tRNA". From Rfam's summary of the family: Transfer RNA (tRNA) molecules are approximately 80 nucleotides in length. Their secondary structure includes four short double-helical elements and three loops (D, anti-codon, and T loops). Further hydrogen bonds mediate the characteristic L-shaped molecular structure. tRNAs have two regions of fundamental functional importance: the anti-codon, which is responsible for specific mRNA codon recognition, and the 3' end, to which the tRNAs corresponding amino acid is attached (by aminoacyl-tRNA synthetases). tRNAs cope with the degeneracy of the genetic code in two manners: having more than one tRNA (with a specific anti-codon) for a particular amino acid; and 'wobble' base-pairing, i.e. permitting non-standard base-pairing at the 3rd anti-codon position. The record is from RNAcentral.